This 318-nucleotide ribosomal RNA is filed under the name Triticum aestivum (bread wheat). RNAcentral's name for it is "partial small subunit ribosomal RNA". Lineage: Eukaryota; Viridiplantae; Streptophyta; Magnoliopsida; Poales; Poaceae. The record is from RNAcentral.
AUGAAUUGCAUGAGCUGGAACUGCCGGGGGCUUGGGAACCCUGAGGCAGUUCAUGAGCUUCGCAGCAUUGUGAAGCAAGAAGUUCCUGCCCUGCUAUUCGUAAUGGAAACCAAAAUCAGGGCAAAGCGAGUUGAAGAUCUACGGCACCAGCUUGGUUUCAUGGGAUGUUUUACGGUUGGUAGUGAAGGAUUGAGAGGAGGUAUUGGCCUCUUUUGGUCUAAGGACUCUGAAGUUCAAUUGAAAAACUAUAGUUCCAGCCAUAUCGAUGCGAUGGUGCGGACGAAAGACACAAACCCCAUGGAGUGGAGAUUCACAUGA